Molecule: RNA transcript, 4192 nt
Organism: Motacilla alba alba
Lineage: Eukaryota; Metazoa; Chordata; Aves; Passeriformes; Motacillidae
Gene: EIF1B
Gene name: eukaryotic translation initiation factor 1B
Exons: 5
Source: RefSeq, a predicted model, not a curated record
CUCCACGUUUUAUUUCCCUUUGCGCUUCCUCUUUCUUCUUACUCCUUCCUUUCGCCCUUGCCCUCCGGCUCGGGUUCGCUCCCCGCGUCCCUCCGCUUUUGUUACCCCUCCCUCGCUCCCUCCCGCUCCCCGCCCCCGCGUGGCACUGCGGAGCCGGAGACGUGACCCGAGCGGACUCGCUUCCCUGCAGCUCCAGCCUCUCGCCGCAGAGUCGCAUGUCCUCGAUCCAGAACCUCCAAUCCUUCGACCCCUUUGCUGAUGCAACAAAGGGUGACGACUUACUCCCGGCGGGGACUGAGGAUUACAUUCAUAUAAGGAUCCAGCAACGAAACGGAAGAAAGACACUAACAACUGUUCAGGGCAUUGCAGAUGAUUAUGACAAGAAGAAACUUGUGAAAGCUUUCAAAAAGAAAUUUGCUUGUAAUGGUACUGUGAUUGAGCAUCCUGAAUACGGUGAAGUUAUCCAGCUGCAAGGUGACCAGAGGAAGAACAUUUGCCAAUUCCUCUUGGAGAUUGGCAUUGUCAAGGAAGAACAACUGAAAGUUCAUGGUUUCUAAUAUACCUGUACUCUUAUGAGGAACCCUGCAGUAUUGGUCUUACCUAUCCUGGCUCUUCUGUGAAAAAUGAAUCUUUGCAGUGAAUGGACUUCCCCAUUACCUGAACAUUUACAGUUUGAUUUGCAUGACUUCAUGAAACAGGUGGUGUGUAGACUAGAAACACAUAAGAAAACUUCAGUAAGAUGAUUUUUGAGUUCAGAAAUGAACCCUUAAGGCACUAGCAACAAUUAGGGGAGCAUUACAUGAUGAUUUCUUUCUCCGUCUGGUCUAGACAAUUCCACUUGUAAAAAUCUAGUCUCUCAAUCUCCACAAAUUCCGCCUGAUGUUACAGAUCUUAACUGUUCCAGAGAAAGGAUGCUCCAGAAGAUGGUAUACUCUUAAGGUGCAAUACAUUCAGGAGGAGGAAAUGCCUCAUGCAAAGCAUAAAAUACCCACAUACCAAAUGGAAAUCCAAAAAUAAAUCUUAUGCAAGUCUUGUAGAUGAGCAGAAUAAAGUCAUUCUAGUGCAAGUUUACCUAGUAUUGAUUCUUAACUGCUGAAGUAAUGAAUCUUUUGGGGGUACAUAGCAAUUAGUGUUUUUCAUUUUAUCACAUACCAGAAAAAACUGAUGUUCUCAUUUAAAGUUUGUUCUCCUGCUCCAGAGUUAAAACAAGCAGUAUCUUCUAUUUCACUGGUAUUAUACAAGUACUUCUAGUGGGCUUUGAAUUGAAGAUUAACAAAUGACUCGCAGGUCUCGUGUUACUGAGUCAGUCUUCAUUUCAGAUGGCAUUCCAUUAACUUUUGCUACCUAAGCUUGAGUCAUUUCUCCAUAGUCAUUCUGCUUGGAAUAAAUAAGAAAAAUCUUUGAUUUUCUUCCUUCUCAUUUAAAAAUCCUUUCUAAUAGAAGGAACCUUGCAGUUGGUAGGUGGCUUGGUUGGCGAUGCUUGUGUUUUGACCUUUGAAGGGCAAAAUUAUAAGGAGAUGGAAUAAGACGUAACACAGUUGAAGUUUUAAAGAGGUGAGAUUUGUUGUGGCAACAAACCAUUUGAUCUUUCUAGCAGGAAAGCAGAAAUUUUUAUCCAUGAGUAUUUUUAACUGAAACAGUGUUUCUAAGAGUGUAAUUAGCCUUGGUAUAAGCCCAAACCUCUUGUAUGUUCUAGUUGAAAAGCUUUGACAAUACCAUGUUUUGUCAUCUUACUCUGAAGCUUCUUUGUCAAAGCUAAACUUAUUUGGAAUACUUAUCUGUGUUUUAAAAAUGCUGAAAAUGAAGGCUUUGAAAGCAACUUGUUAAAAUGCUGCCACAGAAAUCUGUUUUCAGAAUGAAGACAGGUUUCAAUCUUUUCAUCCAUUCGAAAAUAGAUUAAAAAAUGUUGAAGGAUGUGGCCCAUAAUUGCCAAGGCAGUAAAAAUGAGCUUAUGAUAGAAAACUCUGUUGAAGUCUAUUAGUAGGACCUGAGGCUGGCCAAGCUCAGACUGCAAAAAAUGAAGGUUUUUUUGUUGGAAUGUUGUGAAGUCUGCGUCCUUCAGACCUACCAGUCAAGAUUGCCUUCUUAGUGAUACUUAGGCUUAAUCUCAAGGUGUUACUGAAUGUAGAAGCUUGUUUUGAAUUCACAGCCUUGUGCAUAGUUUUAUUAGGCUGUUCUAGCUGACUGUGAGCUGAUACCUUGGAGUAAGGUACUGCAUAAAUAAAGUCACUAAUUUGUCUCUUCUGAGUCUACAUCUACUUAAUGCAGCUAUGAGCAAUGCAACCCUCGCUUCCCAAAUGCUGCUGGCAGUUCUUGUUUGUAGAAUAUGAGAUUUAGUAAUUUAAGUCUGUAAGACGCCUACUUUCUCUUACUGUGUGAACUAUCAGGCCCUUGACUGUCACCUGUGGUCUACUAAAUCUGACUCUGUCUCAGAGAUGAGCAUGAGGAGCACAACUAUGGGCAGAUAAUUCUUGAGUGGAGUAACCUCUGAAAAGAGGAAUGCCUGGGCUGUGUGUGCAUGCUAGUCAUUGCUUCAAUGGCUUGGCUUGAACCUUUAUUCCUGGACUCCAUUUUUGCACAGCCUAAAUGAAUAACUUUUUGUUUUGGAGAGCUUCUUUGGAGGGGGAGGAGGAAACUAGUAAAAAAAAAACUGUCUUAGGAAAUAUGUUUGUAUCUGGAGUUUGUUUUCAUUAACUUAGAUUCCUGGACUGCAAGACCUCUGUAACAUUUUUGUUUCUCUCUCUGUAUCUUUAAAAAUCCUAGUUAAAUGUCCUUGAAAGUUUGACAUUUAAGGCUCUAAAUACAUCUAAAGCCAUUAUAAAACUCUAAAAUGCAAAGUCAUUGAAGCUUAAGUUUCAAAUAUUUGAAAUAACAAUUAAGCAGAACUCCUCAUUUUUUCCUAUACUGCCAUCCUGCUUCUAGUUGGUAUGUAGUUGCCCUGAAGAUGCAUGUGUUAUUUACAGCCAGGCAGUAAUCAGAUAGCCUUGCUGUAAUGCCAUACCCUGUUUGUAGGUUUUUUAAAUUUUAUCUGACGUGCUGCACUCUUACAGGCUGUACCACUCUAAUUUUGCAGUAUAGGACAGAUGUACCUUGAGUUCCAGUCAGCAGGUAAUUCCUUAUUCCUUCUGCAAGGCUGUAGUGUACAGGAUUCCUGUAUUACAUCUUUAAGUGGUCAGUAGUUCCUCACACAAUGUGAAAAUGUAUACAAGUAGAUAUUUAGCCUGUUAAAGCAGGGGGAGGUGUUUUUUACAGCUGACUCUGAGACACAGAAGGAGUUACUGUUCCUUUUAUCUGUUCAGUGUUGAUCGGUGUCACUGAGCAUUCCUCUAACUCAUGUGCUGCUGCCACUGGGGAGAUGGAAGUGGGUUUAGAGGGCUGUGUGUAUUUAAGUGCUAUGACCUUCUGCAUCUAUACUCAGUCAGGAAUCUGUCCCCUGAGCACGGCAACAUGAAGGUUGUUUUCCAGUUGCCAGAUCAAAAGCUCUUGAGAUCAUUAAGGGAAAAGUGGCAUAGCUGUUUUAUGUUUGCUGUAUAGAUGUUUCAUGCCUACUGUUUCCCAUUUAGAUUAAAAAUACAAAAAUAAUCUCAAAAGAGGAUUUGUACUUGGCUUGCCUUUUUUAAAGUUUGCUGUGUGCCUGUCAUUGAUCUCUUAAUGAACAAGUCUUAACGUGUAUUGGAGCAUUGCUACAGAGCUGAGACAACAAAGUCUUUUAAAAUAAAGUGUUCCAGUGUUAUUUGAUGUAUGCUUUUCUAAAACAAAUGGAAUUUUAUGCUGUUUUUAAGGAGGAUUAUAUUUUUUUGGUGGAAGACAAAAGAAACCUAAUUUAAUAGAGAUGUGUGUGAUCCUCUUGUAAAAUCAGCUUUGAUUUCAUACAGAAAUGUUGUAUUUCCUCCCUUAAAUUUCUAACAUAAUCUGUAUUAACCAACUUAAAAAUACUGUGACUUCUGGAAUAUUGUGGCUCUAAAACAAGAUGAUUGGCUUGAGGUCUAAAACUUUGGGUAGAGGAGGAUCAUCUAAUUUCUUGAAUAAGCAAAAUGCACAGUAUUUUAGACUAAAGCCAGAAAUGUGAUCAAGUUUGUUUUCAGCUCUUUUUAGAGUAUCUUGCAUCUGUGAAAUGUGACAGCACAUUUCUGAAAUGAAUUUGGGGCCUGAUUAAAAUGACUUGUGUAUACAAUAAAUGGGGUUAUUUUUA